CGACCUUGACCGCUUGAAGAAUGUUACCAUACCCCUCAACCCCCCCUUCUUCCCACAUUCAUACCAUCCGAGAUGGCGUUGAUUAGGCUUCUUUCUGAUGGGUAUUGAUGUCUAUAUUGUUCAACGUAAGCCUCAAUUCUGCUGAGAAAGUAAGCCAGGUGGUGUGGAUUCCCAUCAAAGAUGUGAACACCAUCCGACCUUGACUGCUUGAAGAAUGUUACCAUACCCCUCAACCCCCCUUCUUCCCCUCAGGGGAAAAAUGUGGCAGCAUCUGGAACCCUAAAGUCUAGUAUGGUUUCCAGGCCUGACAAAGUCCUUGGGAGAUUUAAAAGAACACAAGCAUCCAGCACCACCCACUCACACUUGCUGUUUAACAUCAAGAAGAGAAGGAUUAUUGAUAUUAGUAAAAAUAGGUUAAUUAUGAGCAUGUUUUUUUUACUUAGUCCAGAUCUAUAAAUCUACAGAUCUUAUAUUGCUCAGCUGUCUGAUAUAUGUUGAGAUGAUCUCAAGCUGAUUACCUCACAUUUCAGGGAGCUCUGAGCUGGAGAAGCUUCUUAGAUGAGAAGCGAAACGUCUUCAAAGAAAAACCAGAAAGUCCAUUUGCCUCUUGAAAAAAACACCUUUGGGACAACCAUGACCUGGAUGAUUGAGAAUUUCCGUAGACAUAAUAAAAAAAGGCAACAAGUAACAGAUAACAAAGGCUAACUACUUAAUUUCAAUUUUGAUUUAGUCUUCACUGAUAUAAAGGUAUGUAUCAGGCAGCUAUGAA
Long non-coding RNA from Ahaetulla prasina, 769 nucleotides. RefSeq lists it as uncharacterized. The record is from RefSeq and is a predicted model, not a curated record. The transcript has 3 exons. Lineage: Eukaryota; Metazoa; Chordata; Lepidosauria; Squamata; Colubridae.